UGCGGGAUCGUCUAAUGGUAGGACAGCGCCCUUUGAAGGCGCUUAUCAUGGUUCGAAUCCAUGUCCCGCAG
This 71-nucleotide transfer RNA is filed under the name bacterium. Its description in RNAcentral is "tRNA-Gln". It matches the Rfam family "tRNA". Rfam says of the family: Transfer RNA (tRNA) molecules are approximately 80 nucleotides in length. Their secondary structure includes four short double-helical elements and three loops (D, anti-codon, and T loops). The record is from RNAcentral.